RNAcentral lists this ribosomal RNA (468 nucleotides) under uncultured bacterium. Its description in RNAcentral is "partial 16S ribosomal RNA". It matches the Rfam family "Bacterial small subunit ribosomal RNA", at positions 28 to 507 of the family's 1533-position model. The record is from RNAcentral.
GACGAACGCUGGCGGCGUGCUUAACACAUGCAAGUCGAACGGAAAGGCCCUGCUUUUGUGGGGUGCUCGAGUGGCGAACGGGUGAGUAACACGUGAGUAACCUGCCCUUGACUUUGGGAUAACUUCAGGAAACUGGGGCUAAUACCGGCUAGGAGCUCCUGCUGCAUGGUGGGGGUUGGAAAGUUUCGGCGGUUGGGGAUGGACUCGCGGCUUAUCAGCUUGUUGGUGGGGUAGUGGCUUACCAAGGCUUUGACGGGUAGCCGGCCUGAGAGGGUGACCGGCCACAUUGGGACUGAGGUACGGCCCAGACUCCUACGGGAGGCAGCAGUGGGGAAUAUUGCACAAUGGGCGGAAGCCUGAUGCAGCAACGCCGCGUGCGGGAUGACGGCCUUCGGGUUGUAAACCGCUUUCGCCUGUGACGAAGCGUGAGUGACGGUAAUGGGUAAAGAAGCACCGGCUAACUACGUG